This 328-nucleotide ribosomal RNA is filed under the name uncultured eukaryote. RNAcentral's name for it is "partial 18S ribosomal RNA". It matches the Rfam family "Eukaryotic small subunit ribosomal RNA", at positions 1470 to 1796 of the family's 1831-position model. The record is from RNAcentral.
CCAUUAGAUGUCCUGGGCCGCACGCGCGCUACACUGAUGCAUGCAACGAGUUUAUAACCUUGGCCUGAAAGGUCUGGGUAAUCUUUUGAACGUGCAUCGUGAUAGGGAUAGAUUAUUGCAAUUGUUAAUCUUGAACGAGGAAUUCCUAGUAAACGCGAGUCAUCAGCUCGCAUUGAUUACGUCCCUGCCCUUUGUACACACCGCCCGUCGCACCUACCGAUUGAAUGGUUCGGUGAAGAUCUCGGACUUCGAUAUUUAUUCUUUAUUGAGUUUAUAUUGUGGGAAGUUAUCUAAACCUCAUCAUUUAGAGGAAGGUGAAGUCGUAACA